This 569-nucleotide ribosomal RNA is filed under the name uncultured euryarchaeote. RNAcentral describes it as "bacterial SSU rRNA". It matches the Rfam family "Archaeal small subunit ribosomal RNA", at positions 796 to 1366 of the family's 1478-position model. The record is from RNAcentral. Lineage: Archaea; Methanobacteriati; Methanobacteriota.
UAGUGUCGGAGUGAAGAUGUUAAGCAAGCUGCCUGGGAAGUACGAUCGCAAGAUUGAAACUUAAAGGAAUUGGCGGGGGAGCACAGCAACGGGUGGAGCGUGCGGUUUAAUUGGAUUCAACGCCGGAAAACUCACCGGAGGCGACGGUUACAUGAAGGCCAGGCUGAUGACCUUGCCAGAUUUUCCGAGAGGUGGUGCAUGGCCGCCGUCAGUUCGUACCGUAAGGCGUUCUGUUAAGUCAGAUAACGAACGAGACCCUCAUCCUUAAUUGCUAUUGGUAACUCCGGUUAUUAAGCACAUUAAGGAGACCGCUGGCGAUAAGUCAGAGGAAGGCGAGGGCAACGGUAGGUCAGUAUGCCCUGAAUCCUCCGGGCUACACGCGCGCUACAAAGGCCAGGACAAUGGGUUUCAACACCGAAAGGUGAAGGUAAUCUCGAAACCUGGUCAUAGUUCGGAUUGAGGGUUGAAACUCACCCUCAUGAAGCUGGAAUCCGUAGUAAUCGCGGAUCAACAUCCCGCGGUGAAUAUGCCCCUGCUCCUUGCACACACCGCCCGUCAAACCAUGCGAG